This 497-nucleotide ribosomal RNA is filed under the name uncultured bacterium. RNAcentral's name for it is "partial 16S ribosomal RNA". It matches the Rfam family "Bacterial small subunit ribosomal RNA", at positions 28 to 507 of the family's 1533-position model. The record is from RNAcentral.
GAUGAACGCUGGCGGCGUGCCUAAUACAUGCAAGUCGAGCGAACAGAUGAGGAGCUUGCUCCUCUGACGUUAGCGGCGGACGGGUGAGUAACACGUGGAUAACCUACCUAUAAGACUGGGAUAACUUCGGGAAACCGGAGCUAAUACCGGAUAAUAUAUUGAACCGCAUGGUUCAAUAGUGAAAGACGGUUUUGCUGUCUCUUAUAGAUGGAUCCGCGCCGCAUUAGCUAGUUGGUAAGGUAACGGCUUACCAAGGCAACGAUGCGUAGCCGACCUGAGAGGGUGAUCGGCCACACUGGAACUGAGACACGGUCCAGACUCCUACGGGAGGCAGCAGUAGGGAAUCUUCCGCAAUGGGCGAAAGCUUGACGGAGCAACGCCGCGUGAGUGAUGAAGGUCUUCGGAUCGUAAAACUCUGUUAUUAGGGAAGAACAAAUGUGUAAGUAACUAUGCACGUCUUGACGGUACCUAAUCAGAAAGCCACGGCUAACUACGUG